UACACUUUGCCAGUUACUCAGUUACCCUUUUUUAUUUUCAUAGAUAUUCUGGGAUAAUUCCUUUUUUUUUUUUUUUUUUUACUGUAUAUAUGUGCAUGCUGAUGAAAGCAAAAAAGAAAGCACAUCCUUGGAUCUGAGAAGGCACGCGUGUGGUGAGAUGGAAGGAAGGACACGCAAAAAGGAAAUUUAGCACCUCUUGGAUCAAACCUUGAAUGCCACAGUGCUAGGUGUUUAACUGAUGUCCAGGAAGGAGAGAAACUAAUAUUAUGAUGAAAUACAAUGAAUGUGCAUGGCCUUAUGAGUGGAGUAGGUCUACACCAGGAUCUGAACCCGUGAACCUGGGCUGCCAAAGCAGAGGGUGUGGAACUUUCAAUUAUUCUGCCACAGGACAGGCCCAGAAUACAUUCUUUUCAAAGCGAGCCUCAGAUUCUCUAAUUCAUCUAUCUGCCAAAGCAGUCUUUUGGAAAGAUGACCACCACAUCAUGUUUCUUCAUCAGUCUGCAGUUGACAUGUUUCAGGAGUAUUAGAAAUAAGCAAUAAUCAGAGGACAAGGAUUAUAUAAACUGAUAAUAUUUACAGCCUCUUUUGCCACUGUCAAAACUGGAAAUUUUCCACUUUUAGUCACUGAACUUUUGGAUUCUUAAAUUUUGAGACAUUCUUUCACACUUAGCCUCUGCAUAAGAAUCUUUAGAAGUUU
Molecule: long non-coding RNA, 697 nt
Filed under: Equus asinus (donkey)
Lineage: Eukaryota; Metazoa; Chordata; Mammalia; Perissodactyla; Equidae
Description: lncRNA (ENSEASG00005033145.1)
Source: RNAcentral